This 458-nucleotide ribosomal RNA is filed under the name uncultured bacterium. RNAcentral's name for it is "partial 16S ribosomal RNA". It matches the Rfam family "Bacterial small subunit ribosomal RNA", at positions 338 to 795 of the family's 1533-position model. The record is from RNAcentral.
CCUACGGGGGGCAGCAGUGAGGAAUAUUGGUCAAUGGGCGAGAGCCUGAACCAGCCAAGUCGCGUGAGGGAGUACUGCCCUAUGGGUUGUAAACCUCUUUUGUCGGGGAGCAAAAGCCGGACGUGUCCGGCUGUGAGAGUACCCGAAGAAAAAGCAUCGGCUAACUCCGUGCCAGCAGCCGCGGUAAUACGGAGGAUGCGAGCGUUAUCCGGAUUUAUUGGGUUUAAGGGGUGCGCAGGCGGAUUUUUAAGUAUGCGGUAAAAUCGUGGGGCUCAACCCCAUCCAGCCGUUGAAACUGGGGAUCUAGAGUGUGCGAGAGGUAUGCGGAAUGCGUGGUGUAGCGGUGAAAUGCAUAGAUAUCACGCAGAACCCCGAUUGCGAAGGCAGCAUACCGGUGCACAACUGACGCUCAGGCACGAAAGCGUGGGUAUCGAACAGGAUUAGAUACCCUUGUAGUC